CCCUUAGAUGUUCUGGGCGGCCCGCGCACUACAAUGGCGCUUUCAGCGAGUUCCUAUGUUGAAUUUUCCUGGGUAUUCUUGGAAGCGGCGUCUUGACUUGGGAUAGAUCCUUGUAAUUGUUGGUUUUGAACGAGGAAUUCCUUGUAAUCGCGGUUGAUCAGCUCGCGUUGAAUACGUCCCUGCCCGUUGUACACACCGCCCGUCGCUCCUACCGAUGAAUCGUCCGGUGAAGUUCACAGAGUGGCGGUUCGUGGAGUUGCUCGCGAAGUGAAAUGGACCUCACGAUUUAGAGGAAGGAGAAGUCGUAACA
RNAcentral lists this ribosomal RNA (310 nucleotides) under uncultured eukaryote. RNAcentral's name for it is "partial 18S ribosomal RNA". It matches the Rfam family "Eukaryotic small subunit ribosomal RNA", at positions 1470 to 1796 of the family's 1831-position model. The record is from RNAcentral.